Molecule: unclassified non-coding RNA, 257 nt
Filed under: plant metagenome
Description: partial contains small subunit ribosomal RNA, internal transcribed spacer 1, and 5.8S ribosomal RNA
Rfam family: Eukaryotic small subunit ribosomal RNA (bases 1-54)
Source: RNAcentral
GGAAGUAAAAGUCGUAACAAGGUUUCCGUAGGUGAACCUGCGGAAAGAUCAUUAAAGUUCUAGUCCCCCGGCCCCUCCGGGCUAGGGUCUUCUAUACCACCCUUUGUUUAUUACACCUUUGUUGCUUUGGCAGGCCUGCCCUCGGGCUGCUGGCUCCGGCCGGCUCGUGCCUGCCAGAGGACCUAAACUCUGUUUGUAUAUGAAGUCUGAGUACUAUAUAAUAGUUAAAACUUUCAACAACGGAUCUCUUGGUUCUG